GAUGAACGCUGGCGGCGUGCCUAAUACAUGCAAGUCGAACGGAGAUCAGCAAUGGUCUUAGUGGCGAACGGGUGAGUAACGCGUUGGUGACCUGCCCCAAAGAGAGGGAUAACAGACCGAAAGGUUUGCUAAUACCGCAUGUGCUGACGGAAGACUAGAAGUCUGUCAGGAAAGCAGAAAUGCGCUUUGGGAGGGGCCUGCGUCCCAUCAGCUAGUUGGUAAGGUAACGGCUUACCAAGGCGAUGACGGGUAGGGGACCUGAGAGGGUGGCCCCCCACAAUGGAACUGAAACACGGUCCAUACACCUACGGGUGGCAGCAGUAGGGAAUAUUGGUGAAUGGGCGAAAGCCUGAACCAGCAACGCCGCGUGUGCGAAGAAGGCCUUCGGGUCGUAAAGCACUUUUUGCCGGGAAGAGGAAGGACGGUACCGGCAGAAUAAGCCUCGGCUAACUACGUGCCAGCAGCCGCGGU
Molecule: ribosomal RNA, 471 nt
Filed under: uncultured bacterium
Lineage: Bacteria
Description: bacterial SSU rRNA
Rfam family: Bacterial small subunit ribosomal RNA
Source: RNAcentral